GUAGGUGAACCUGCGGAAGGAUCAUUAACACGAAUACAUCCAUAUUCACACUCAACGGCAACCCUUUAUUCUCCCUACUCUAACACGCGAUCUUUAUCUUUGAUAAAAAGAAGAUAAAUGCUCUGUGCAGAGCAGGCUAUCCGCUUUUUCCUUCAAUAGAAGGAAAGUGCCCCAAUUUUAACCAAAACCCCAAUCACCUUUCCGCUUGUGCGUGUCCCUUGUGUCCGCAGAAGCGACAUUGUGAUUGUUC
This 250-nucleotide unclassified non-coding RNA is filed under the name plant metagenome. RNAcentral's name for it is "partial contains small subunit ribosomal RNA, internal transcribed spacer 1, and 5.8S ribosomal RNA". The record is from RNAcentral.